UGUAUUUAAGUACAACUACACAUGUUUUUUCUAUGCACUAACACCAACCCACAUAUUCUGGUUAUUAUUUUGUUUACCUAGAUGUGAUGAAAAAAGUUAUCUCAUUUCUUAAUUUGUUUGAAUGAGGGGGAAUGAGAAAACAUAGUUGUCAAUAGUGCCAAAAGAAAACCCCAAAAAGGGUAAUAAAAAACGAUUAAAAACGCAUGUUAUUCGUGCUCGUACAACAAGAAGAAAUCAGAAUGAAUUGGAACAAGCAGCAGCAGCAAUAUCAUCAGAAGCAACAAAUAUACAUUCUUAAAAUUCUACAAAAAAGGAAUCAAAAAAUGCAACCCGCUUCAGAUGACGAUUAGGGUAAUUAUAGUAGUUCAGCUAUAUUUUUACAUAAAUAAUUUAUAUGACACUGCUGAAUACCACACAGAGAUGUGUGAUCACAUGUGGUUAGAAUCUUCACGCGGCCUAUAGCGAGCUCACCACUUUUCACUACUUCUGAGGGUUUCAAAACCUACUGUUUUUUCACCACUUUUGGCUGGCAGGGAAUAUGCUGCAAUACAUACAUCCAUUCAUACAUACACAAAUACACAUAUAUUAGCUAUUUAAUAUAGUUUUCUAAAAUAG
This is a long non-coding RNA of Bactrocera latifrons, 615 nucleotides long. RefSeq lists it as uncharacterized. The record is from RefSeq and is a predicted model, not a curated record. Lineage: Eukaryota; Metazoa; Arthropoda; Insecta; Diptera; Tephritidae. The transcript is spliced from 3 exons.